Molecule: ribosomal RNA, 355 nt
Filed under: uncultured bacterium
Lineage: Bacteria
Description: bacterial SSU rRNA
Rfam family: Bacterial small subunit ribosomal RNA
Source: RNAcentral
GGACCCGCACAAGUAGUGGAGCAUGUGGUUUAAUUCGAAGAUACGCGCAGAACCUUACCAACACUUGACAUGUUCGUCGCGACUUUAAGAGAUUAAAGUUUUCGGUUCGGCCGGACGAAACACAGGUGCUGCAUGGCUGUCGUCAGCUCGUGUCGUGAGAUGUUGGUUAAGUCCCGCAACGAGCGCAACCCUCACUUUUAGUUGCCAUCAUUAAGUUGGGCACUCUAGCGAGACUGCCGGUGAUAAGCCGGAGGAAGGCGGGAUGACGUCAAGUCCUCAUGGCCCUUAUGGGCUGGGCUACACACGUGCUACAAUGGCAGUGACAGAGGGACGCUACCAGGUGACUGGAUGCAAA